This 253-nucleotide ribosomal RNA is filed under the name uncultured bacterium. RNAcentral describes it as "partial 16S ribosomal RNA". It matches the Rfam family "Bacterial small subunit ribosomal RNA", at positions 524 to 776 of the family's 1533-position model. The record is from RNAcentral.
UACAGAGGAUGCAAGCGUUAUCCGGAAUUAUUGGGCGUAAAGCGUCUGUAGGUGGCUUUUUAAGUCCGCCGUCAAAUCCCAGGGCUCAACUCUGGACAGGCGGUGGAAACUAGCAAGCUGGAGUACGGUAGGGGCAGAGGGAAUUUCCGGUGGAGCGGUGAAAUGCGUAGAGAUCGGGAAGAACACCAACGGCGAAAGCACUCUGCUGGGCCGACACUGACGCUGAGGGACGAAAGCUAGGGGAGCGAAUGGG